This 471-nucleotide ribosomal RNA is filed under the name uncultured bacterium. RNAcentral's name for it is "partial 16S ribosomal RNA". It matches the Rfam family "Bacterial small subunit ribosomal RNA", at positions 28 to 507 of the family's 1533-position model. The record is from RNAcentral.
GACGAACGCUGGCGGCGUGCUUAACACAUGCAAGUCGAACGAUGAAGCCUAGCUUGCUUGGUGGAUUAGUGGCGAACGGGUGAGUAAUACGUGAGUAACCUACCUUUAACUCUGGGAUAAGCCCGGGAAACUGGGUCUAAUACCGGAUACGACCAAUCUCCGCAUGGGGUGUUGGUGGAAAGCGUUAUGUAGUGGUUAUAGAUGGGCUCACGGCCUAUCAGCUUGUUGGUGAGGUAACGGCUCACCAAGGCGACGACGGGUAGCCGGCCUGAGAGGGUGACCGGCCACACUGGGACUGAGACACGGCCCAGACUCCUACGGGAGGCAGCAGUGGGGAAUAUUGCACAAUGGGCGCAAGCCUGAUGCAGCGACGCCGCGUGAGGGAUGACGGCCUUCGGGUUGUAAACCUCUGUUAGCAGGGAAGAAGAGAGAUUGACGGUACCUGCAGAGAAAGCGCCGGCUAACUACGUG